Molecule: ribosomal RNA, 775 nt
Filed under: uncultured Neocallimastigales
Lineage: Eukaryota; Fungi; Neocallimastigomycota; Neocallimastigomycetes; Neocallimastigales
Description: partial large subunit ribosomal RNA
Rfam family: Eukaryotic large subunit ribosomal RNA
Source: RNAcentral
AGAGAGAGACAUGCGUGCAUAUCAAUAAGCGGAGGAAAAGAAACUAACAAGGAUUCCCCUAGUAACGGCGAGUGAAGCGGGAAGAGCUCAAAUUUGAAAUCUUAAAGGGUUUCCCUUUACGAAUUGUAGUUUAAAGAAGUGUUUUCUGUUGAGGUUUUGGUAAAAGUUCUUUGGAAUAGGACAUCAUAGAGGGUGAGAAUCCCGUAUUUGACUCUUUACUUUCAACUUUGUGAUACACUUUCAAAGAGUCGGAUUGUUUGGGAAUGCAGUCCAAAAUGGGUGGUAAAUUUCAUCUAAAGCUAAAUAUUGGCGAGAGACCGAUAGCGAACAAGUACCGUGAGGGAAAGAUGAAAAGAACUUUGAAAAGAGAGUUAAACAGUACGUGAAAUUGUCAAAAGGGAAGCGUUUGACACCAGUGUUGUUUUUCUGAAAAUCAAUUAAAGAACUGUUUAUGCUAAGUUGUUUAGACUUUAUCAGCUAACUGUUUAGUUUUGAGCUUUUCUUUAAUGCACUUUUCAGUUAACAAGUCAACAUCAAUUUCUUUUGCUGUAAAAAAGCUUGAGGAAGGUGGCUUGAGAUUCGUCUUAAGUGUUUAUAGCCUCUUGCCUAUGCAGUCGGAGAGAUUGAGGUCUGCAGCGUAGAUCCUUCGGGGCUAAAUGCAUUUGUGCUAAGUUAUAGCAUUUUAUAGACAACUUGUUGACUAUGAUUUGUCUUGUAGCUUACUCGCUUAUGUUAUUUUACCUACGCUUAGGAUGUUGAGCGCAUGUCUCUCUCU